CCAUUUCUCUUCUUGCUUUACUCAUACAUGUGAAGCAUCUUAAGUCUAAAAGCAUUCUCUCUUUUUCGUGUUUCUCUUCUUCACAAAAGAAUCCAUCUCCUUCUUUAGUGAUCUAAUCCAUGGAGAUAUCAUUAUCAUCUUCAGAUGCACGAGGUAAGGGUGUCCUUGUUGAUGAGGUCAAUACGGAUGAUCGAAUCAGCAGACUCUCCAGAGAUCUAUUGCUUAAGAUCUUAUCGAGCAUGUCUACUUAAGAAGCUGUUACGACGAGCGUUCUAUCAAACCGAUGGGGGGGGAUGUGUGGAAGGAAUCGUCUGAGAUUUUUAUGGACAUGCAAUAUAUAACGAAAGCCAGAAAUACUGUGAUGGAUGUUAGUAUAUGCAGCUGGAUGGAUGACAAAGGUGCAUUUCUUUGCUCAAAAUUUUCUCUUUACAACUUUUUGGAUAAAAGUAUUUCACAAAUAAACAAAUAGAUCUGGGUAUAAGCUGAUGACCUAGGUUGAUGUUAUAUUACAAAACUCUAAGAUUACCCAUGAAUUAAUAGAUGAUUUCAUUUGUUCAUUGUUGUAGCCUUGUAGGGGAAAAAUAAAAGUAAAUAACCAAUGAAUACGUUUUAUUUUAAAAUUCCCGUGUUUAUGAAAGAAAAAGGUUACCAUCUUAACAGUAUUUGGCGCGAGUAGGCUAUAUUUUCUAAACUUAUACAAAUCUUUGUAUAAGUUUGUGAUCUAUUAUACAUGACAUGCACAUUUUUCGGAUGACAUGUUAUAUAUAUUUUCAGAUCCAAGGCUUUUUUUUUUUCCAUAAACACACUUUUGAUUUCUAAAACACAUUACUUAUACAAAGAAAAUGCUAUUCAUUUCAAUAUGACAAGUUAUUUUUAUAUUUGACAAGUUAUUCCUUAAAAAUACUUAGACAUUUGUUCUAUAUGUUUGCACAUUACAUGUGGUUGACUUGAAGAUGACAUCAUUAAUGUUCUACUCAAAAUAACGUCGUCCUUUUGACGAAAUUAAAGGAGCAUUUAAGUACACCUAGCUAGGGUUAGAAGAGAAAAUAAGGAACCUUGGUUGCGAGAGAGAAAAAGGAAGCAGUUUCAAUAGAAAAAAGAGAGUGAACACUAUUUCUGCAAAAUUCACAAUUAAGAAGCAAGCGAGAUCAAAUCCGAUUCUAAAUCAGGAAUUUCUGUAGUCCGGUAUUACUUUUUGUCGAGAAAAUGAGGUAAAUUAACGUAGUUAAUUAGUCGUUUUACAAAAUCGGAGAAAUUGAGUGGGACAUUAAUUCGAUUCACAUGAAAAAAUUUGUUGAUUUUGAGUAGGAUUAUAAAAUAAAUGGAAUAUAGAGGCUUGUGGAGAUAUUUUAAUUCAAGAUUUACAUUAAUAUUGUUCAAGUAUCAACUGUUGGAUAUUUAAGUGUACGUGAUAUUUAAGUGUACGUACAUCGUCGGUUAUUCACGAAUGUUGGAUAUUUAAGUGUACGUACAUCGAUGGUUAGUGUACGUACAUCGACGGUUAUUCACCAACCAUCGCACCUUUUGGUACAAACGGUUAUUAUAUUAAACGUACGGUUGCAAACGUAUGUGAAGACCGUUGAUCACUAUAAAACUCUGUUUCUCUUGUAUCAAACAGAGAGAGAAGUACAGAGCACGAGAGUUUCACAAAAUCAAAGAUUGAAAGAAUCUUUGGUGAUAAACACAUAAACAAAACACAUAAUCUCUAUUUGUUUCUCUUGUAUCUUAGCCUAGAACAAGAGAGAACUUUGAUUGUCUUAUCCUACAAGGGAUUUUGUGUAACCCAAGGCUUGAUAAGGGUCGAAAUACUCUUUAAGGAAAGUGCUCACGUGCGCGAUUCAAUCAUUAUCCAAGUUCACAUUCGUUACUUCCCGGAGUUACAAAGCCUAUUUCUACAACAAUCUUAAAGAGUAUUUACGGUGAACAAUGGCUAAUGUUUCUGUGCGUGAGAUGACAUCAAAGUUUGGCAAAUUGGAUAAGUUUGAAGUAGUUGAUUUUAGAAGAUGACAAAAGAAGAUGCACUUUCUCCUCACAACGCUAAAUGUGGUGCACGUUCUAAGUGUGCCAAUGCCCACCGUGUCGGAGAAUGCUGAGAACGAGUGUGUGGAGGAGACAAGGAAGCAACUUAAGUGGGUGUAAAGCCGUGGUAAUGUGUCGGAGAUUACGAUCUCCGGACGUGCGGAUGAUCUAAGGGCUAGAAUAUUGCGGGGUGUUUGAUUAGCUCGUUGAUCGGCUUAGUCAUUCAUGAGCAUAUUCAUAUCGUGGAUGCUUUUUAUGGAGUAACGGUUUGGUUGAGACGGGGAUGCGGCUCGGCAAGGAAUUGGCGGAUCCGCAAGGAUCUACCGAUUCUAGGCCGAACUGAUGUGCUUACUUCCAAUCUCUGAUCCGCUUUCCGGACUAAAGGACUAUAAGGACAUAUAGGUUUUAUGUCAUAGAACCUAAUGAUUCUAUAGCGGCUCAUACCGUAAUUGAGUCAAGAGAUGCAAUAUUUGAUGAGAAUCGUUUCUCGAUGAUUUCUAGGCCAAUUCCCUUAAUACAACAUGUAGAUGGAUGAAUCCAUCUCGGUGUCGUGCAUCAUCGACAAGUUGCCGCCUUUGUGGAAAGCUUGGACAUAGGGCCAAGGACUGCCGUCAUAAGAAGGAAGGAACAUCGAUUGGAGAUGCAAGUAAUGCGAACCUUGUCGAAGAUCAGUUUGUUGCGGUCGUUUCCGAAGCAAACAUGAUGACAAACUCCAAUGAUUGUUGGGUUGACACUGGUGCUACAAAGCAUGUGUGUUCUGAUGCGAGUAUGUUCUCAAUGUACGUACAUGGCUCUGGUGGAGAAAAGUUGUACAUGGGAAACGCAAGUACCACAAAGAUAAAAGGGAAAGGCAAAGUGGUUUUAAAACUCACGAGUAAUUGGUUGCUUAAUGUAUGCCAUGACUAGCACUAGACCGGAUAUAGCUUUUGCGGUAGGAAAGUUGAGUAGAUACACUAGUAAUCCUAGUACUCAUCAUUGGCAAGCUGUAAGGCGGGUGCUCAAGUACUUGAAAGGAACCAUAAAUUAUGGUUUGUCAUAUUUUGGAUUUCCUUCGGUCUUAGAAGGAUAUUCGGAUGCAAGUUGGAACACCAACGAGGAAAAUCAUUCUUCUACAAGUGGUUGGGUGUUUCUACUUGGGGGAGGUGCCAUUUCAUGGGCAUCAAAUAAACAAACUUGUAUUACAAAUUCUACUAUGGAAUCGGAAUUUGUAGCGUUAACGGCUGCAGGGAGAGAGGUGGAAUGGUUAAGACACCUAGUCUCCGAGAUUCCAUUGUGGCCGAAACCAGUGCCACCCAUUUCUAUCCAUUGCGAUAGUCAAGCUACUUUGGCUAAGGCCUAUAGCCAAGUGUAUAAUGGUAAGUCGCGACACCUAGGCUUGAGACAUAGCGGGAUACGUGAGUUGAUCACUCAUGGGGUGAUUACUUUAGAAUUUAUUCGGUCUGAACAUAAUCUAGCGGAUCACUUGACAAAAGGAUUAGCUAGAGACUUGGUGAUCAAGUCGGCUAAAGGGAUGGGAUUAAAGUCCAUUUGAAAUCUCUAAUGGUGGGAUACCCAAUUCCCCUCUAAUACAACGUUAGAGGCUGAAUUCAAUGUGGAAAGCCCACACUUAGAGAUUGAAGCACUGAUUUAUAUCAUCCCAAAGUAAGUGCUUGGAUCUGCAAGAAAAGAUUAGGUUGAAGUUUUAUUCUUAAUAGAUCUUUUGAAAAAUUGCAUUUUGCAGGUGCAAGAUUAAACGAUCUACCUAUAUGGGUGUGAAGUGUAGCCGCUUCAAGAAGCUUGGACUUGGCUUUGUAUACGCUCAUGAAUGGAUAAGGACACAUGGCUUAUAAUAGUGUCAAGGAUAAACACUUAGAGUAGUGAGUGAAUUCGUGUGUGUAUUAUCUUUAUGUGCUCAAAAUGAGUUGAAGGAUUCAAUCCGUAGGACAUCCUGAUUCUCGAGCAUUUGGAAUGUGUAAUAUCACUAAGAUGUAAAUUCAAUCGUUACGAUAUUUACAUUUAUGCAUGAGUUUGGUUUACGUGUUGUUAAUUUUGUGAAUCAAAGAUUACACUUAAAUGGGGGAGGAAUGUUGGAUAUUUAAGUGUACGUACAUCGUCGGUUAUUCACGAAUGUUGGAUAUUUAAGUGUACGUACAUCGACGGUUAGUGUACGUACAUCGACGGUUAUUCACCAACCAUCGCACCUUUUGGUACAAACGGUUAUUAUAUUAAACGUACGGUUGCAAACGUACGUGAAGACCGUUGAUCACUAUAAAACUCUGUUUCUCUUGUGUCAAACAGAGAGAGAAGUACAGAGCACGAGAGUUUCACAAGAUCAAAGAUUGAAAGAAUCUUUGGUGAUAAACACAUAAACAAAACACAUAAUCUCUAUUUGUUUCUCUUGUAUCUUAGCCUAGAACAAGAGAGAACUUUGAUUGUCUUAUCCUACAAGGGAUUUCGUGUAACCCAAGGCUUGAUAAGGGUCGAAAUACUCUUUAAGGAAAGUGCUCACGUGCGCGAUUCAAUCAUUAUCCAAGUUCACAUUCGUUAUUUUCCGGAGUUACAAAGCCUAUUUCUACAACAUCAACUAUGAGCAUUUUCAAAUAAUUUUCCGGAACUCAUGUUCAAUAAGGCCCACAGUUUUUAAAAAUUUCCUUUAACCAGAAAUAAAUUUAAUUAAAGGGAUAACCAUGUUUGUUGGCCCGCCUAGCCUUAACGAAGCAUAUGACUCGCUUAUCUAUAUAAGAUUUGAUCAUUUAAGAUUUUCUUUCGUUCCUCUGUAUAAGAUUUUAUUUCUUGUUUGUUUUGUGGCAUUUCUUCUUGGUUACUUGAACAAAACCCAGAAUUUGUAUUCUUAAUUAAAGUCGGUGUUUAUGUCAAUGAUAAAAGAAUCAUAAAGAUUGUAAGAUAUAGACAAGAUCAGUGAGUUGCCUGAUGAAUUGCUAGUGAAGGUACUAAUGUAUCUCCCUACAAGAUCAGUGAGUUGUAAACACGAAUAUUUUAUGGAAACGAUGAAAGUUUAUUUGGAUUUGGUUGGCUUAUAUCAAGCUUAGUCACGAACAUCGAAAGAAACUUCCAUCCCUUCGAUACAAUACUCGUGCUUACAUCAACUUUUGUUGGGAGAAACAAAAGUUGAUGUAUCUCAACGAGCAAUUCAUCAUGGGAAUUAUCUGAUCUUAUCCAUAUCUUACAAUCUCCAUGAUUAUUUUAUCAUUGACAUACACACUGAGUUGAAAAUUACAAAUUUUGGGUUCUGUUCAAGUAAGUAACCUAGAAGAAAAGUCACAAAACAAGCAAGAAAUAAGACAAGGUAUAAUAAUACAUAGGAAAGAAAGAAAAUAUUGAUAUAUGAAAUCUUAUAUAGAGAGAAUCGAGUUAUACGCUUUCACUAAGGCUUAGAAACAUGUUUAUCCUCUUAAUUUAUUUUCUUUACGGUUAAUAGUAAAGGAAAUUUUUACAAAAAAUGUGGGUCUUACUGAACAUCAUCUCCAAAAAUUUAAUCGAAAAUGCGCAUAAUUAAUACCAUAUUUAUGUUAAUCAUGAAUAAACAUAUCUCCACAAAUCCUUUAUAUUUCAUAUAUUCUAUAAGUCUACUCAAAGUUAAUUAAAGUUUUCAUGUGAAUCAAAUUAAUGUUUCACUCCAUUUCUCCGUUUAAGUAAAACCCAUAAGUACAUCAACUUACCUCAAUUUUUCGACGAAAAAGUAGUACCUAACAACAAAAAUUCCCAAUUUAGAGUCGGAUUUGAUCUCGUUUGCUUCCUACUUGUGAAUUUUGCAGCCUACUCUAUUUUAUCCAUUGAAAUUGCCUCUUUUUUCUCUCUGGAAAACAAUGUAACCUAUUUUCUCUUCUAACCCUAGGUGUACUUAAAUACCCCAUAAAUUUUUUCAAAACGACGUCGUUUUUUUGAGAAGAUCGUAAAUGAUGUCGUGUUCAAUGCGUGUUCGGAAGCAUCAGAAGAGAAUUAAAUUACAUAAAUAGUUUGGGCCCUAUCUUACGUGAUGUACGUACCCACAAACCGGAAUAUUUCUUUGUUCAUUGGCUCAAAGAAAUUGUCCGUUUUAAAUCUUGUUACUCUUAUAAAUGAUUUAAUUCCUUUUGUUUGAAGUGUACCAAAUUAAAUAAAUUACUUCAUUUAAAAGAUUGUCAAUUUUAUACGUAUGUUUGAAUUCAUAAAAGUAAAAACUAAAACCCAAUAAUUUUUGUGGAAGUCCCCUUGGUCUAAAGCAGUGGUUGACCAAGAGUUCAUUAAUAUUACUACACAAGGUCUGGAUUUCAACUCCUAAAGAACGCAGUUUCUUGUAGAGUAAUAGUGCAAAGUUUACCGGACAUCCAAAGUGCCGCGUGUAGAACCAUUCGUAGUGGUCAGAAUAUUACAGGAAGAUCAUGUCGCGGAGAUGUCGUACAUGAAGAACCGACAGCUGAAGAUCCGAGUGCGACGAGGAGAACUGCGCUGUAGAAUCGUUGUUCGUGAGAACUGUUCAUAUAUGAUGGAGCUAGUUAAUUAUUAUCAUAAUAGGAUUAGCUUAAAAUGAUGUAAUAAGACGAGAAAAAAAACACAAUAUUUUUGAAAUCUUUUAAACCAAAUUUUGUGUACGUAUCAUGGUUAAUCUAAAAAUAAAGUACCAUAUGAUUGGUGCCA
RNAcentral lists this long non-coding RNA (6636 nucleotides) under Arabidopsis lyrata. RNAcentral's name for it is "long non-coding RNA (ALYR_LNC000930)". Lineage: Eukaryota; Viridiplantae; Streptophyta; Magnoliopsida; Brassicales; Brassicaceae. The record is from RNAcentral.